GGCUCAGGAUGAACGCCAGCUACAGGCUUUAACACAUGCAAGUCGAGGGAAACGAUAUUGGAAGCUUGCUUCCGAUAGGCGUCGACCGGCGCACGGGUGAGUAACGCGUAUCCAACCUGCCCAUCACUUGGGGAUAACCUUUGCGAAAGUAAGACUAAUACCCAAUGACGUCUCUAGAAGACAUCUGAAAGAGAUUAAAGAUUUUAUCGGUGAUGGAUGGGGAUGCGUCUGAUUAGCUUGUUGGCGGGGUAACGGCCCACCAAGGCGACGAUCAGUAGGGGUUCUGAGAGGAAGGUCCCCCACAUUGGAACUGAGACACGGUCCAAACUCCUACGGGAGGCAGCAGUGAGGAAUAUUGGUCAAUGGACGAGAGUCUGAACCAGCCAAGUAGCGUGCAGGAAGACGGCCCUAUGGGUUGUAAACUGCUUUUAUAAGGGAAUAAAGUGAGUCUCGUGAGACUUUUUGCAUGUACCUUAUGAAUAAGGACCGGCUAAUUCCGUG
This 501-nucleotide ribosomal RNA is filed under the name uncultured bacterium. RNAcentral describes it as "bacterial SSU rRNA". It matches the Rfam family "Bacterial small subunit ribosomal RNA", at positions 21 to 507 of the family's 1533-position model. The record is from RNAcentral.